GAUUAGGUAGUUGGUUAGGUAACGGCUUACCAAGCCAUUGAUCGGUACGGGUUGUGAGAGCAAGAGCCCGGAGAUGGAACCUGAGACAAGGUUCCAGGCCCUACGGGGUGCAGCAGGCGCGAAACCUCCGCAAUGUGAGAAAUCGCGACGGGGGGAUCCCAAGUGCCAUUCUUAACGGGAUGGCUUUUCAUUAGUGUAAAGAGCUUUUGGAAUAAGGGCUGGGCAAGACCGGUGCCAGCCGCCGCGGUAACACCGGCAGCUCUAGUGGUAGCAGUUUUUAUUGGGCCUAAAGCGUCCGUAGCCGGUUUAAUAAGUCUCUGGUGAAAUCCUGUAGCUUAACUGUGGGAAUUGCUGGAGAUACUAUUAGACUUGAGACCGGGAGAGGUUAGAGGUACUCCCAGGGUAGAGGUGAAAUUCUGUAAUCCUGGGAGAACCGCCUGUUGCGAAGGCGUCUAACUGGAACGGUUCUGACGGUGAGGGACGAAAGUUAGGGGCGCGAACCGGAUUAGAUACCCGGGUAGUCCUAACUGUAAACGAUGCGGACUUGGUGUUGGGGUGGCUUUGAGCUGCUCCAGUGCCGAAGGGAAGCUGUUAAGUCCGCCGCCUGGGAAGUACGGUCGCAAGACUGAAACUUAA
RNAcentral lists this ribosomal RNA (636 nucleotides) under uncultured archaeon. RNAcentral describes it as "bacterial SSU rRNA". It matches the Rfam family "Archaeal small subunit ribosomal RNA", at positions 223 to 859 of the family's 1478-position model. The record is from RNAcentral.